Molecule: non-coding RNA, 1344 nt
Organism: Castor canadensis (American beaver)
Lineage: Eukaryota; Metazoa; Chordata; Mammalia; Rodentia; Castoridae
Source: RefSeq, a predicted model, not a curated record
UUUGGUAAAAAGUACAAGCAAGGUUGGAACUGCAGAGUUCUGAUGAGCCUCAGGAUGCUGAAGUCUAGCGUCUGAAUUGAACAUGGUAGGGCUCACAUCAUGGUUUGAGCAGAAAUCCGGCACUAAAUCCUUUUUUGAGAGUUAUCUUACUGACCUGUGUUUCUUAACAGUAGUGGUAGUAGUAAUAAUAAUAAUUACAAAGCAUGUAUCUAAACCAGAUCACCUAAGUUGUCAUUUUUCAUGUGUUUAAUGUGUGCUACUGUGUAUCAGUUUGAGAUUAUCGAAUGUACAGUGUAGCCUGUGUCCCUUGCAGUCCCAGCAAAUGCGGAGAUGUCGGCUUGCCUGCUGUAUAUGUGUUCAAAUGGCUCUGGAAGAGAGGAAGUCGUCUAGCUAUCAGUUACAAUGCCAUCCGGAAAAUGAAAGAGAUAGCCAGAUCGAAGGCAGUAGCAGUGGCUGAAGAGAUGUGGGGACUUGGUGGCCUGUUGUAGUAGGACCUGAUGGGAAAAGAAGGCCUAGCCUGAGGGUGCUCUGAAAGGCCAGAACUUUGUAUAUGUACCUGUACCUGUACCUGGAAUACACCGUCGCAGGCCAACUUCGACUCUUCUCUGCACCCCUUCUCGCUGCAGCCUCCAGGGUGUUGGGUAAGCUCCAUUCUCCACUGUCUGGUGACUAUCUGUUACCCUCCUAAACACAGGACUUCUGUUCAUGGCCAUGUUCAGGCCAUCAGACAAGUUGUGUCCCCUGUGUGACAGGACACACAAUUCAGUGUGGAUUGUGGUGGGGAAAUGUGAGGUAAUAGACAGUGUGAAAGUUCCCAGCUGCCUCCAAAGUCCCAGGCAGUCUGGAUUCUCUCUUCAUGGCAAUGAGAAGCUCUAGAAGAUUUGUGUAUACUGUGGUGCCUCAAACUUCUAAAGGGGACCAAUUGUACAUUUUAGAAGGAUCCCUCUGGUUUCCAUGAGGGAAGGAUAGGUUUGCAAAGGCAAGACAGCAGCAGAUGGAUUCUGAGUGCAGUCCAGGUAAGAGAGUGUGGAGACCAGAGCCAUGGAUAGACAUGGAGUGAGUGUGACUAUGGAUGGACUGUAGAUGAGUAGGACUACUCACUCAAAUUUGCAUGUGGAGGAGAGAAGUCAGUCAUUAUCCAGCCAAUGAACUUGACCUCACCUCCUUCCCCCUUUCCUCCCCAAGCAUCCCCUGCAUCACUUUGGAAAUACAGUCUCUUAUUAGAACGAGUCAGGAAGCAAGGGUUCCAAGAAUAGCUUAUGAUUUUGUAGCAGUCCCAAAAGCAAACAGCCACUGGCUUAAUUUUUUAGUGUGCGUAUAUUUUUGUGUAUUCCAUAUGGAUUU